Long non-coding RNA from Spinacia oleracea (spinach), 1397 nucleotides. RefSeq lists it as uncharacterized. Lineage: Eukaryota; Viridiplantae; Streptophyta; Magnoliopsida; Caryophyllales; Amaranthaceae. The transcript is spliced from 5 exons. The record is from RefSeq and is a predicted model, not a curated record.
CUGCAAAAGAGAUUUUUGCAGCGUACAUAGUAAAAGCCCCCUGCAAUAGACCUUUUAUUUUGCAGCGUACAUGGUAAAAGCCCCCUGCAAUAACAUAUUUGUAAUUUUUUUCGCUGCAACUUUAACUCAGACCAAACAUUUCUACCUCAAACCUCAUGACCAAUUUCGCAGCGAAUAUCCCACUCUCAUUACUCCCUUCUUCUUCUCUCGGCUUACCCUGCGUCUCGCCGGUGGUUCUCACCAGUGGUCGUCGCCGCGUGGUCUCGCCCGUCGCCGGUGGUACUCUAGCAAGAGUCUAUUUAAUUUCCUCACCUCUCACCGGUGGUUCCCUGCUCGAAAAACCCCCGCAAAAGGUAUUCCCUGCUCGAAAAAACAACCGGCGAAGUGAUUCCCUGCUCGGAAAACUAAGCUUCUUUGCUCGGCCGGUUCGCGAACCCUGUUCUCCGUCAAUCCUCGCUGCGGCAAGUAACUUUCUCCCCUGUCCCUUUUUAUUUUCGUUUUCAAAAUUAGGGUUUGUUCAUUUUUCAUUUUUGCAGAGAAAGCCAAAGAAAUUGUUGGCUGACAAGAUUAGGAGAAAAUACAUACGUUUAUCUCGGAGACUUCCUCCACCCUUUUGAAGGGCGCAUAUACCAGUAAAAAACCGUACUGUUAUAAUACUCGAGACAGAUACUGGAGAACAAUACGAAGCCAAUUAUCUGCCUCAAUAUCGUGGACUCAGUGGUGGGUGGAAAAGGUUUGCCAUAGUUCUGAAAUUGGAAGGAGAUACUGUUGUUUUUCAACUAGUUGAACCUGCCAAAUUUAAGUCUACCUCUUCUAGAAUCAAAUCACUAAACUAGUUGAAGCUGAGGAUAAAAGCUGCUAAUGAAGCUGAGGCGGCUUGCCAACGGCGUCUCUCUGUUGCUGAGGCUGAAAUAGCUGAUUUAAGAUCCAAAUUGGAUACUACUGAAAGCAUGGAAGGCAAGCAUUCGUUUCUGUGCCUAGCACUUUUCCUGUGCCUGGAGAAGAACUGAUGUUUUGAUGAUUGUAAGAGGGGCAAGGAGAAGCUUGUUUGUGAUGCUGCUCAAGUACUGCUUUAUUUCGGAGUUGAACAAAUCAUCUAUGUUUCUGAAAUGACGCACUGCUAAAUAAAGGUCUACACUCCGAGGAAUGCGCCUAUACUAGUGAGGAAAUUGAUGUGGUUCGUGAGCAACGGGCUAAGUGUUUUACCCGCAAGUAUUUACUAUUGGCUUGAGCGCGCUUGAUCGAGGUGGUUUAGUUGUUAUAGAACAAUCGUUUACAUUAAAAUGUAUGCGUACAUUGAAAUUGGAACGUAUAUUUGAAUGUAGUACGUGCACUUUGGUUUUGGGAUAUAUAUAUAUGUAUACAAAACACCAGUUAUUAUUUUUUAUAUUUGUUGA